This 160-nucleotide ribosomal RNA is filed under the name Phaeosphaeria sp. MPSC 15. RNAcentral's name for it is "5.8S ribosomal RNA". It matches the Rfam family "5.8S ribosomal RNA". Rfam says of the family: 5.8S ribosomal RNA (5.8S rRNA) is a component of the large subunit of the eukaryotic ribosome. It is transcribed by RNA polymerase I as part of the 45S precursor that also contains 18S and 28S rRNA. Lineage: Eukaryota; Fungi; Ascomycota; Dothideomycetes; Pleosporales; Phaeosphaeriaceae. The record is from RNAcentral.
UACAACUUUUCAACAACGGAUCUCUUGGUUCUGGCAUCGAUGAAGAACGCAGCGAAAUGCGAUAAGUAGUGUGAAUUGCAGAAUUCAGUGAAUCAUCGAAUCUUUGAACGCACAUUGCGCCCCUUGGUAUUCCAUGGGGCAUGCCUGUUCGAGCGUCAUU